GCCCCAGUAGCUCAAUGGAUAGAGCAACAGACUUCUAAUCUGUAGGUUGGGGGUUCGAUUCCCUCCUGGGGUA
Molecule: transfer RNA, 73 nt
Filed under: Chloroflexota bacterium
Lineage: Bacteria; Bacillati; Chloroflexota
Also listed under: 1 other name
Description: Chloroflexi bacterium tRNA-Arg
Rfam family: tRNA
About the family: Transfer RNA (tRNA) molecules are approximately 80 nucleotides in length. Their secondary structure includes four short double-helical elements and three loops (D, anti-codon, and T loops).
Source: RNAcentral